GAGAGAGAGAGAGAGAGAGAGAGAGAGAGAGAGAGAGAGAGAGAGAGAAUACAGGACAAUCAGAGAUAACUCAAGUGUCUCGCCCACCUCAUCAGCAGUGGUCACCCUACUGAAGGGCCAAAGAAUGGUUGAGACCCAGCUUGCUAAAUCCUGCUUGCGACCGAGAAAAGGGGGCACUUGGUUGGGUAGCAGUCUACUGCCGGCCAUCUGCCUUAGACUCCGGCACUCACAGAUGGGAUUCUGGAGCAAGCCAUUCCACGGUCAUCAAGCCGAAAGUCCGUGGACAAUGAGCAACCAUGCAAACAACACUCCGCCCUGUGGCCCAUCUGCACUGUCUUUCCUUCUGCAGAUUUGUGAAACACCUGGGCCAUGGGGAGAUGAGGAUGAGCAACCGGAUAAACAUCUGGAGCACACCUAGGCAGGUGGGGCUCAGACAGUCAAUGAGGUCAAGAGAAUGUGUCCUGUGCUGUUUGUAAUAACACGCUCUGCAGAAAAUUGAGGACGGAGCAGGAAGCCCUAAGACUAACCAUGGUAAGUACCCACACGGACACUUGGAAAGCAAAGUGGACCUCUGCUGUCAGAAAACAUGGAUCUCCUAGUGUACAUGGGUGAGAUGUGGCCAGAACACCUGUUCCCCCUCCUGCCACAGAUGCCAAUGAGCAGGGAGAGAGCAUUGGAUCUUUGUGUUGCUCUAUAUUCCGAAAGCCGGGCAAUUUGUGAAUGCGGCAGAUUAACACCCCAGGACAAGCUGCCACCCCUCCCACCCAGGCAGCAGGAGGGAAACAGCCAGUCAUUCCAGAGCUGUCCUGCCCCUCUGCUCAGGGGGUCAGCCACAUCUCUGAGACUUGAGAUGUCUGUGUCACUCUCGUCCUCUCCUCAGCAGCCUUCUUUCAUUCUCUGAAUAUUGAGGCCCAGGAACUUUCUGGGAAUAGGGACUCUAGUUGGUGUCUUCUGGAAUCAACCUGGCAUUCAUCCAGGGCUGGAGAGCUAAUGCACAACAAAUAAGCUCUUCACAGUGUGUCUGUACUAAACUGUUAACAUACCCAUGCAGAUUCUUUUCGACAGUAUGGGACACACAAGUGUCCCUAUCCAUAUCCCCUGUCAAGACUUCCCAGUGCCCCCUGGAUAUGCAUGUAUGUGCAGAAUACCUCUGGAAGAACCAACCAGGCACAGCCGCAGUGGUUGCAUUUGAAGGACAGAAUGGAGAUGGAGCAUGGGAAUGGGCGGGGGGACCUUAUAAUAUCUGCUUCUGAUCUGUGUUAUCACCACAGGUAAUCCAGAGCCCGCAGCAUGCGCUUGGAGCCAGGAUACUUGGGUUAAGGUGAAUUUCCCAUUUGUGCUUGGGUGGCACCUCCUACCUUACUGAGUGAUUGUGAGGUUCAAGCAUGCUAAUACCCAUAUGUAGGUGCUGAGUACAAAGUAACGACGAUUUGCAAUUGCUGUUAUUAAUGUUGUUGCUAUCAAAUUAGAAAGAAGAUAGAAUCUUGUCAAAGAAUAAAUCCAGCUGUGACUUUCUUUAAAAUAAAUGAUAAAAGGCAUUGCGUUUAAAACUGCUGGGCUAUUCAAUAAAGGCUUAGAUAUUUC
This is a non-coding RNA of Peromyscus maniculatus bairdii (prairie deer mouse), 1584 nucleotides long. The record is from RefSeq and is a predicted model, not a curated record. NCBI's taxonomy places the organism in Eukaryota, Metazoa, Chordata, Mammalia, Rodentia, Cricetidae.